RNAcentral lists this ribosomal RNA (274 nucleotides) under uncultured bacterium. Its description in RNAcentral is "partial 16S ribosomal RNA". It matches the Rfam family "Bacterial small subunit ribosomal RNA", at positions 523 to 796 of the family's 1533-position model. The record is from RNAcentral.
AGACGGGGGGUGCUAGCGUUGUUCGGAAUUACUGGGCGUAAAGGGCGCGUAGGCGGCUCUGCGAGUCGGGCGUGAAAUCCCGGGGCUCAACCCCGGAACGGCGCUCGAUACUGCGGGGCUGGAGACCGGAAGAGGAGGGUGGAAUUCCCAGUGUAGAGGUGAAAUUCGUAGAUAUUGGGAGGAACGCCGGUGGCGAAAGCGGCUCUCUGGUCCGGUUCUGACGCUGAGGCGCGAAAGCGUGGGGAGCAAACAGGAUUAGAAACCCUAGUAGUCC